UACAAUCAAAAUCCAAUACAUAAAUAUAUUCAACUAAUUUAGUUGAAACAUAAAGUGUCCAACAACUACAAUCCAAUCAGAUUAAAAAGUGUUCAACCAUUACACUAAAAGGAAAGAAUAUCUCAGUCAUAGCUAACGUACAUAAGUCCUAGCACCUAUAUAGAUCUAAAUUGUCCACUACAAGAUGGUUUUGUGGUCUACAGCUGAGAAUUGUCCACUUCUUUGAAUCCAGACUUCAUUAUAGCAUACAUGUUCAAAGUGCUAGCCUUCUCGGGUCCAAACUUAGAUUCCUAUAAGACCAUGAAAUGAAGUCACAGAUUAGUUUAGCCAUAGUUGUAUCUAGGUAUCAUCACAAGAUUAAAGAAACAUCACUAAUUUGUUUAGCUACAAUCAUAGUAAUCCCAUUGACUCAACUUCUGUUAGCAUAUUCAAAUGUGAAGUCACCUACUUACAAUGUCAAUCUAAGCAUGUAGACAUGUAUAACAGAUUAAUUGUUGAACCUUAUAAGAAACUAGUUAAAUUUAAGUGGUUCAAUCUACUAGACUAAUAUCACCACUUUGUCAUUGAAUAGUUAGAACUAGCAAUCAAAAUGUAGUGUUCAUACCAGCAAUUGUUGUGCUCUCUGGAGGGGAAUGGGAGCACUUUCUCCACUGCUGUCCACUGUAUUAAUUGCAGAUUUCAUUGCAGCAUAUGUGCUCAAAAUGGUAGCCUUCUCAAGUAUGCAAUGCUUAGAAAUCAACUCACGUUCCGCCAUUGUUUUUAUUCCAUCAAUUUUUUAAAUGACUUUAGACACAAAAAUGUUCACUCCUAUCAACCAAAUAGCAACACUAUUAUCUACAGAUUUACUAAACAACAGUUGAUGAGGACAUCCCUAGCAUUCAUUCAUCUUCAAAUGAAACUCCACUUGAUAUAAGUGGUCCAAUUACAAGAAGUAGAGCUAAACAAUUGGAGAAGGAAAUUCAUUCUCAGGUGAACGCUAACCUUAUGUUUAAUAAUCAGUUUAUGUUGAAUGAUCCUAUACUUUUGAGUUCUUGUUUCAAUGUCCUUAGGAAUGAUGGAGGGUAUGAACCAGCAUGGGAUGAAGAUGGAUUCAAGCCUUUGGACAUCUGAACCAAGAAGCCUAUCGUGUGCAUAAAUAAAAUGGUGGUUCAUUACUUCUGCAUGAGAAGGCAACCAGAAGCUAGAUGGCUGACCCAUGGUACAAAUUCCAAGCAUCACCACGGACAGAAUACAAGGAGUUACGUGGCAUUCUACAGAUGGAUGAAAGCAUCUUUAAGUCUAUGUUGCAGCCCAUCAAACGGUUCAUUAUUUAGACUUCCCAAUAAAGAGUUAUGCUCAUUUUAGUAACUGCUGCCAGAAGCUGAGAAGACGCGCGAACCAGCCACGAAAUCCACUAGUGGAUGUGCAUGCUGUCAUGUAUUCAAAGCUGAACGCCCCUAUCUAUAUAUAUCUCUUGUACUAGACAAUGAAAGGACAUUUUUUGCUUGGUUAAAAUUCAGAAUACACAAACUCGUGGAGUUUUGUUUAUGCGUGAGUCUUGAGAGGCUUGCAAAACUCGUUCUUUCGAUUCCUGAGGGAGUUGUAGAACGCCGAACUGCGGUUCAUCCAGUUUGUGCCUUCACGUCUAUACGGCGUGAUUGCGUGGGCUAUUCGUCGGUACGUGGAAGGGUGAUUGUCUCGGUAGUUCGUCGCGUGGACAGCCUCGCGGUGCACUGUCUCUUCACCAGGUCACGCAGCGACAAGUUAUCAAGUUCGCGAAUCCUACGAGAAGAUCGGGCCACAACGACUUGUCUCACGCUAUCCCUAGGCGUGAGCAUAUCAACAGUGCCUAUUUUGUAUCUAACCUUUUGGCCUGAGAUCAAGUGCAUUCAAAAUUCAUAGAAAGAAUUAUAGCAUAUGGUUCAUUUAUUGGAAAUGUAUGUCACUGAAGGACACACAAAAACAAGUAAACAGUGAACAUCUGAAUAUGCAGCAAGUCAUUGAAAGAAAAACAUUUUCAAAUGAAGCAUUGACUUGUUACUGGUUACAUGUUUGGCUAAACUAAUAUUGUGUUCCAGAUGCACUAUCACUCAAACAGCACCAAAGUGAGAGUAGCAACAGUCAUAACCUACACCAAUCUAGGUAGAAUAUCUAGCUUUGCAAUGAGGCCCCUAACCUACACCAAUAAAGAGAAAUCUAGAAAAAAUUCAGUUAGCAACAUAAUGAGCAGUCAGUCAUUUUUCUGAGCUUCUAGACAUCCAAUGUAAAUAUGAUGAAAAAAUGCUACAAUUUUUUUGUCCUCAAAUUACAAGUUCAGAUAGAUCUUUUAUCAAAUUGAUAAUAAAAUACAUGUAUUUUGUACCCUAGUACUGCAGAACUACCAAGCACAUAUAUGCAGCUGCACCUAUUUUCAGUUUAAUAUUCACAAAUCAAUCACUAGAUUAGAUCUGUUUUAAAAUUGUUGCCAACCACUGCAGAUACGUCAGCACUUAAGAUUUUGGCUCUAUUAUUAGAACAGUUGAAAGUGUUUCCCCCAUUCAGUCAUUAUAAGAAACAGGUAGCCAGCACACAUGGGCAUCACAAGAUAAGCACACGAGCGAUCGAGACUCACCGCAAAAAACACCCCGACGGCGUUGCUGACCGGAGAUCUGGUGGCCUUGAAGUCCCUACAAGGCAAGAUGUGGCACACAAAUAAGCAGGCGGGAAGGAAAUGAGGGCAAUAGCUGGGGAGAAAGGGACAGAGGGAUGAGGGAGGCCCAAACCUGUUUUAUUAUCAUCACAGUCCAAUCCCCUAUUGUAUUUUACUAGUAAAUUAAUAGACUGGUAUAAUAGGACCAUCGAUUGAGACCUAAACCUAUGUGAAUAUGUGAUUUAAACCUUCAGAAAUUACAGAUCUAUGCUAAUAGCCAUUGGAUCCAGUCACACAAUAGCAAGCUUACUUAAAGAGAAGAUGGAUCUGAAUUUUUACCUGUGCACAGUGACCUGAUUGCAACAAGAAGCAAGGUGGAUCCAAAUUUCCAAUGACUUGAGAUCUGAAUGCAAGGAGAAUGAAGGAGAGUCUGACGUCCUGGACUGUGCUCAGGCCUCGAUGUGGAGGGUAUCGGCAGGAGCACACAUGACUGCGGGGCGAUGGAUGAGGAGGAGGAUGGGAUGAGCAGAGGAGGGCAGAUGUGCGACAAUGGUAGGUGUUCGUGUGAGGGGCGAUGGAUGACGGCGAAGGAGGGGAUGAGCAAAUGAGGGAGGUGGAGUGGAGGGCAGACCAGCGCCGGCGGAAGGAGCUCGGGUGGGUGACGGUGGGAAGGGGUUUGGGCGAGUUGGGGAGG
This 3302-nucleotide long non-coding RNA is filed under the name Sorghum bicolor (sorghum). RNAcentral describes it as "long non-coding RNA (SBIC_LNC007052)". The record is from RNAcentral. Lineage: Eukaryota; Viridiplantae; Streptophyta; Magnoliopsida; Poales; Poaceae.